UGGGGAAUAUUGGACAAUGGGGGGAACCCUGAUCCAGCGAUGCCGCGUGUGUGAAGAAGGCCUGCGGGUUGUAAAGCACUUUGGUUGGGGAAGAAGGUUGAUAGUUGAAAAGGCUAUUGAAUUGACGUUACCCAAAGAACAAGCACCGGCUAACUCUGUGCCAGCAGCCGCGGUAAUACAGAGGGUGCGAGCGUUAAUCGGAAUUACUGGGCGUAAAGGGCGCGUAGGCGGCUAUAUAAGUUAGGUGUGAAAUACCUGGGCUUAACCUGGGUACUGCAUUUAAGACUGUAUGGCUAGAGUAGUGUAGAGGAGAGUGGAAUUUCCGGUGUAGCGGUGAAAUGCGUAGAUAUCGGAAAGAACAUCAGUGGCGAAGGCGACUCUCUGGACACAUACUGACGCU
Molecule: ribosomal RNA, 400 nt
Filed under: uncultured bacterium
Lineage: Bacteria
Description: bacterial SSU rRNA
Rfam family: Bacterial small subunit ribosomal RNA
Source: RNAcentral